UACGUAGGGACCAAGCGUUGUUCGGAUUUACUGGGCGUAAAGGGCGCGUAGGCGGCGCGGUAAGUCACUUGUGAAAUCUCUGAGCUUAGCUCAGAACGGCCAAGUGAUACUGCAGUGCUAGAGUGUGGAAGGGGCAAUCGGAAUUCUUGGUGUAGCGGUGAAAUGCGUAGAUAUCGAGAGGAACACCUGCGGCGAAGGCGGGUUGCUGGGCUGACACUGACGCUGAUGCGCGAAAGCUAGGGGAGCGAACGGG
RNAcentral lists this ribosomal RNA (253 nucleotides) under uncultured prokaryote. Its description in RNAcentral is "partial 16S ribosomal RNA". It matches the Rfam family "Bacterial small subunit ribosomal RNA", at positions 524 to 776 of the family's 1533-position model. The record is from RNAcentral.